AGAGAAUGAUAGAUUAUGUAGAUCAAUGGAUGAAAAUGGCAGUGAGAAAAAUGAGAUGCUACAUAAAUUAAUUUUUGACUAAAUUACAAGACAAAUUUUACACUAACAAUGCAUAAAGAUUGAAGAUGCGCUUGACAAACAUUACUAGCUAUUUCAUAUUCUACGAUUUUGGUAACAAUUUUUACAAUUUAUAAUUUACAUUUAGAUGAUGACUAAUCUCUAAUUUCUUGUAAGUUGGUCAACUGGCACUCUGUCACAAAUUGGCCAACAAGUCUCUCUUACAUAACAAAUGUCCUUUGGAAUGUCACCUACCUAUAAUAGCACAGGAGGAGGAAAAAAACUGUUUGGUAGCUGCCAUGAAAGAGAUCAACUAAGGAAAUCAGUCUUGAGCAAGAAUAUUUUCUGGACUUUCAGAACUAAAUAUUUGGAAAAAAUAACAUUUUGUAAUUAUGUGGACUCUUUGUUGGAAGAAUUGUGGUCCCAGACAGUUCAAUCUUGAAAUUCAUCAGGCCCGAUGUUUACUUUAUCAGGAUUAAAUACAAGAAUUCACCCACAGAUUCAUUUCAAACAUUUGUAUUAACUUUGAC
This 587-nucleotide long non-coding RNA is filed under the name Androctonus crassicauda. The record is from RNAcentral. Lineage: Eukaryota; Metazoa; Arthropoda; Arachnida; Scorpiones; Buthidae.